Molecule: non-coding RNA, 415 nt
Organism: Labrus bergylta (ballan wrasse)
Lineage: Eukaryota; Metazoa; Chordata; Actinopteri; Labriformes; Labridae
Source: RefSeq, a predicted model, not a curated record
GUUAAUUAUGUUGUAUUUACGUUAUUCUUUUCUAUUGUGUUACGCUGUUAUGUUUAAUAUUGGUCCUUUAUAUUAUAUUAGUAUACAUGUGUUAAACAUUGUUAUAUUGACAGAUAUAUAUAUUGAUAGAAGUACUUUCAUGUUUUUAAUGUUUUAUGUGUUGGGUUUUGUCAUGCUAGGUCUGAGGUGAAUAAUUUUUGUGUGUGUUUCUUAACCAGGGUUGCAAAGAGAAGGUCAAAUAUUGGCUGCAGGAAAACAUUAACACCAUCACGGGCAUGGUCGUCGGUCUCAUGUUUAUCCAGAUGGUUCUGUUUGUCCUCAUGGUGUCUCUGUACUACGCGAUCAAAAGCAAAGCUGCUUUGAAAAUAAAUCCUCCAACGGACACUGACCACGCCCCCCUGGACCCCUCCCCGAA